Phyllopteryx taeniolatus (common seadragon) is the source of this 1703-nucleotide RNA transcript. It is a transcript of the gene named heterogeneous nuclear ribonucleoprotein D0-like, with no coding region annotated. The record is from RefSeq and is a predicted model, not a curated record. NCBI's taxonomy places the organism in Eukaryota, Metazoa, Chordata, Actinopteri, Syngnathiformes, Syngnathidae. The transcript is spliced from 9 exons.
GAGCCAAGUGCCGUUCAAGCGAAGAAGACGUGGACGAAGAAGGAGAACCGCCGCCGAGUAAAUAAACGACAAACAUUAGGAGUUUCAAAGAAUUAGAGAAUUAUUUAGUUUAACCAGCGGUUGAACUAAAGCAACGGCUCAAAUCUGUGAGGCGAACCCUCCUAACUUGCCCCGCAGUGAGCGUCUAGAAUUUUAGCUAGCUUAGCUUAGCUUCUCACCGACGCAACGUCAGUUAGAAAAAGAAAUACACAAAAAAAGAGUAAAGGAAAAUGUCGGACGACUGCGAGUUCAGUGAAGAUGUGGGCAUCAUGAGGAUGGAGGAGGACGGGGUGGCGUACAGCGACGACCUCAUGACGGCCGCGGCGUCGGCCGACGGCCUGACUGGGGACGAGGCCGAGGGGGCAAAAAUCGAUGCCAGUAAAAAUGAGGAGGAUGAAGGGAAGAUGUUUGUCGGCGGUCUCAGCUGGGACACGACCAAGAAGGACCUGAGAGACUACUUCUCCAAGUUCGGGGAGGUCAUCGACUGCAACCUGAAACUGGACCCCAUGACCGGCCGUUCCAGGGGAUUUGGCUUUGUGCUCUUCAAGGAGGUUGCAAGUGUUGACAAGGUUACCGCACAGAAGGAUCAUAAUCUCAACGGGAAGGUGAUUGACCCCAAAAAAGCCAAGGCCAUGAAGAGCAAGGAGCCGGUUAAAAAGAUCUUUGUGGGCGGGCUCUCUCCGGACACUCCUGAGGCCAAAGUGAGAGAAUAUUUCGGCACCUUCGGAGAGGUGGAGGCCGUCGAGCUUCCCAUGGAGAGCAAGACCAACAGAAGGAGAGGGUUCUGCUUCAUCACGUUCAAGGAGGAGGAACCGGUGAAGAUCAUCAUGGAGAAGAAGUACCACAACGUCGGCCUGAGCAAGUGUGAAGUGAAGGUGGCCAUGUCCAAGGAGCAGUACCAGCACCAGCAAUACUGGGGAGGCAGAGGAGGGUACUCGCUCAGAUCUCGAGGAAGGGGAGGUGGUGCCAGUCCAAAUUGGAACCAGGGUUAUGGCAACUACUGGAAUCAAGGCUACAACAACUACGGUGGUUACGGCAAUCAAGGCUACGGCGGAUACGGCAGUUACGAUUACUCUGGUUACAGCAACUAUUACGGAUACGGUGGCGACAGUACUGAGCCGGAUGGUUAUGGCAAGUCGCCACGGCGCCCCAUUCACAGCACCAGUUACAGACCGUACUAAAACUCAUCGGGUCGUCUCAAAGGACACAAGCAGCGGAGCUUCCUUGCAGGCCAUGAGCUGACUCCAGAUACUCUCAAGGCCCGCUCAAUGCGGACCGGGUACGAGACGCAUACGCUCUCGCUUGCUGCCGUUUGGUGUCGCGGGGGGCGAGCGGACGGCGGCUGAUGGCGCUGGAGAGGACACGACGCUCUCGUGCUGAUUGUAAGAAAGAAAAAAAAAACUGAAGAGCCUUUUUCCUUUAUUUUCCGGCGUGUUCCUUGGAGCUGACACCUUUUUUUUUCCAGGGGUAUCUUUAUUUAGAGUUGUUCUCAUUCUUUUUUGGGGGGGUUUUGUGAAAGGUUUUGAUUAUUAAUAGUUAGACACACUUAUUUACAGUUGUAGACGCACAUAUUCUCUUUAUCAGACCUAUACAACGUUCAUGUAAACACACAAUAUAUAUAUAUUCAAUGUAAGCGCGAUAAAACAAUAAAAUACUUGUUUGGA